Prunus dulcis (almond) is the source of this 1768-nucleotide RNA transcript. It is a transcript of the gene named inositol-tetrakisphosphate 1-kinase 3-like, with no coding region annotated. The transcript is spliced from 11 exons. NCBI's taxonomy places the organism in Eukaryota, Viridiplantae, Streptophyta, Magnoliopsida, Rosales, Rosaceae. The record is from RefSeq and is a predicted model, not a curated record.
CAUAUCUUAUACCCGCACCCACUCGCGCGAGAUCCGCUCCGACGAUCUGACCCGUUCAUACCGUGUGCCCCACAGUUGGACCCACAUGAUGCUACACUCGAGUGAGAGCAGAGUAGCUUGGCUCUCGCAUUCACAUUUCUAUAUAUAGAGGCGCACAUACUUACAGAACGCCCCUACAUAUAUACAAGAGAAAAGCUUCGUCUAGACAGGGACAAGAGAACCAAUUGUCCUUCACUCUAUUUAUAAUCCAUAUAUCUUUUCCUUUUCUCUUAAAUUUUGGAUUUCAUUUCCUUUUCUCUGAAAUUUUGGAAAAAAAGUUUGGGAAUUUGAAGCGCGGGAUUGAUUUCUGAAUUGGGGAUUUCUCUGUCUGUUGUUUGAUUGCUGAGAGUGUGUGAGAAUGAGAUUGAAGGGCGAGAUUCACAAUCCUUGCUACGACGAAGAAGAAGAGAAGGUGGCUGAGGAAAACGGCAGGGAAUUGAAUUCGAUUGUCGGCGUUGGGAUUUCUCCGCCUCCGAAACUCGUCGUUGGCUAUGCCUUGACCUCCAAGAAGAAGAAGAGCUUCUUGCAGCCCAAACUUCUUGGCUUGGCGCGGAAUAUGGGAAUAUUCUUCAUUUCAAUUGAUCUAAACAGGCCACUUUCAGAUCAAGGCCCCUUUGAUGUUGUUUUGCAUAAGUUGGCAGGAAAAGAGUGGUCCGAGAUUAUUGAGGAUUACAGACAAAAACAUCCAGAAGUAACUGUCCUUGAUCCACCAAAUGCAGUACAACAUCUACACAACCGCCAGUCCAUGCUUCAGGGCGUGGCAGAUCUGAAUUUGUCCGACUGCCAUGGCAGGGUUGGUGUUCCAAAGCAGUUGAUUGUUACAAAAGAUCCAUUAUCUAUUCCUAAUGAAGUUGAUAAAGCUGGGCUCAAAUUGCCGCUGGUUGCUAAACCGCUACUUGUGGAUGGUAGUGCCAAGUCACAUGAACUAUUUCUUGCUUACGACCAAUGCUCACUCUCAGAACUUGAACCUCCGUUGGUUCUGCAGGAGUUUGUAAAUCAUGGUGGUGUUCUCUUUAAAGUUUAUAUUGUUGGGGAAGCCAUAAAGGUUGUCAGGCGUUUCUCUCUUCCUAAUAUCAGUAAACGUGAACUAGAAAAACUUGCUGGUGUGUUCCGUUUCCCCAGGGUUUCAUGUGCUGCAGCUUCAGCAGAUGAUGCAGACCUGGACCCCAGCAUUGCUGAACUUCCUGAACGACCUUUGUUAGAGAACCUUGCAAGGCAGCUCCGCCAACGAUUGGGCCUCCGGUUAUUCAAUGUUGAUAUGAUCCGAGAGCACGGGACAAAGGAUGUCUUUUAUGUGAUUGACAUCAACUACUUUCCUGGUUACGGCAAAAUGCCAGACUAUGAACACAUAUUUACAGAUUUCCUGCUAAGCCUUGUUCAGAGCAAGCAUAAGAAGAGACCUGCUACUUAAUCAUUGCCACAACCCACUGUAUAUGAUGUUUCUUGCAAGCAGAUGUAGGCCUCCUUGGAACUUGAGGAACGGUCACAUCCUGUUUUAACUUCUGUAAUUACCGAUUGGCUGAAAAGUAGCAAAUGUCUCCUGUACGUGUAAACUUCCAUUUUAACAAAUGAAAUCAUCACCACCUAAUUCAUGUGGGGGCGUUUACAGAUUCUCAGGGGCUUGGUGCCACCCUUCCCCACUCCGUUUUCACCAUUUUCAGUUGGCUUGUAUUUGUAGUUUUUGGGGAUGUAUUCAAUUAAGAUUUUAAAAGAGUUUUAUGUUAAUUGA